UUGACUAUUUUAUACAAAUUAAAAGAAAGAAUAAAUGAAAGAAAAUAAAUAAUAUUUUUAUUAAAGCAUUCUUAUUAUAUAUUGAAAACGGUAAAAAUAAUAUUUAUUAAAAAAUAAAAUUAAAAAAAAACAUUUAAAAUUGAAAUAAAUCAUUCAUUUUGGAACAUAAAAGAAGAGGGAAUACGUUUGGAACACAUAUCUCAUAUUUCUAUUAAGCUCUAAUAUCAACCAUAUACUUAUAUUUUUUAUUGUCUCUUUCUUACUAGUUUUUC
Molecule: long non-coding RNA, 272 nt
Filed under: Lathyrus oleraceus (garden pea)
Lineage: Eukaryota; Viridiplantae; Streptophyta; Magnoliopsida; Fabales; Fabaceae
Description: Pisum sativum (pea) long non-coding RNA (PSAT_LNC035794)
Source: RNAcentral